Molecule: small RNA, 229 nt
Filed under: Pongo abelii (Sumatran orangutan)
Lineage: Eukaryota; Metazoa; Chordata; Mammalia; Primates; Hominidae
Description: processed transcript
Source: RNAcentral
UGAGCCACUGUGCCCAGCUGCAAACAGUCUUUAUGUGGGUAUCAAUGACAGUCUCACCAUUGCUCAUAAGUGGUGAGAGUAAGAGCAAUGCUCCAUUUUCUUCUUGAUCUCAAAGGGAAGUUGGCAAGCUCCCCAUGGCCUCUAAAAACCACCUGCCAGAUUUCAGGGACUGUUUUAUUUUUUUCUUUUUCUUUUUUCCUGUUUUCUAAUGCAGGCCCAAUGUGACAAA